RNAcentral lists this long non-coding RNA (426 nucleotides) under Fukomys damarensis (Damara mole-rat). RNAcentral's name for it is "lncRNA (ENSFDAG00000023324.1)". Lineage: Eukaryota; Metazoa; Chordata; Mammalia; Rodentia; Bathyergidae. The record is from RNAcentral.
AUGAGUGGGUUUUGCCCUGAAUUGCUGCUUUGGGGAGAUACCUUUGAAAGAGGACAUACCAUAUUUGGUUGUGCUCUGGACACCCAAGUUGAAACCAUAUGUCAUGCAUCUCCAGAGGACACUCAGGGAGAAGUUUCCAAGAUACCUUUUUCUCUUCCCUCCUUUCUCCUCCCCCUAUCCCAUUUGAAUCUGCAUGCAAACCUGAGAUCGGGAGCAGCUCCUCUCUAUCUGGAAACUAAAGGAAAAGAUUUCCUUUCAGACGAACUAGCAGCCCCGGAAGCCAAGCUCUUGGGAUCUAGAAUGUAGAGCUUCCUAAAGGCAGGGGCCGUGACAGCCCCAGCCUGGCGCCCAGCGAGCCUGAUAGCCCAGAAAUUAAGUAUUGACGGAGUGGAGCUUCCGCACUUAGACCCCAGACGGCCCGAGGCG